This 468-nucleotide ribosomal RNA is filed under the name uncultured bacterium. RNAcentral's name for it is "partial 16S ribosomal RNA". It matches the Rfam family "Bacterial small subunit ribosomal RNA", at positions 28 to 507 of the family's 1533-position model. The record is from RNAcentral.
GACGAACGCUGGCGGCGUGCUUAACACAUGCAAGUCGAACGGAAAGGCCCUGCUUUUGCGGGGUGCUCGAGUGGCGAACGGGUGAGUAACACGUGAGUAACCUGCCCUUGACUUUGGGAUAACUUCAGGAAACUGGGGCUAAUACCGGAUAGGAGCUACUGCUGCAUGGUGGGGGUUGGAAAGUUUCGGCGGUUGGGGAUGGACUCGCGGCUUAUCAGCUUGUUGGUGGGGUAGUGGCUUACCAAGGCUUUGAAGGGUAGCCGGCCUGAGAGGGUGACCGGCCACAUUGGGACUGAGAGACGGCCCGGACUCCUACGGGAGGCAGCAGUGGGGAAUAUUGCACAAUGGGCGGAAGCCUGAUGCAGCAACGCCGCGUGCGGGAUGACGGCCUUCGGGUUGUAAACCGCUUUCGCCUGUGACGAAGCGUGAGUGACGGUAAUGGGUAAAGAAGCACCGGCUAACUACGUG